GAAGAUAUUCAAGGUUUAAUAGGCAAAGGUUUGCACAUAUGUUUGAAUGUGAACAAAUGAAAGUUUUUUCAAACCUUCAUAAGCAACACAUAUGCGACUAAGGUUGAUUCUUCUAUAGAUACGAAGUACAAUGUAUCUACAUUUGUUGAAUUUUCAACCACCAGACGACUAAGUCAUCAAUUAUGUGUGGUUGAAUCGAAUGCUAAGCAUUCAGCACAUCAACAACGAAUCCGUGCCAUCAUACAGGCAUAUGUCGAAUCGAACAUAAACAUUCGACCACUAUUUCGAACUGAGAGAAAAUUUAAAUACGUCUUUCGACGUUUUGCAUUAAUAUGCAGU
This is a long non-coding RNA of Bradysia coprophila, 339 nucleotides long. The record is from RefSeq and is a predicted model, not a curated record. Lineage: Eukaryota; Metazoa; Arthropoda; Insecta; Diptera; Sciaridae.